CCCUUAGAUGUUCUGGGCUGCACGCGUGCUACAAUGGCGUUUCCAGCAAGUCUGCGAACCCGAGAGGGCCAGCGGAUCUUCGAAUUGGCGUCGUGAUCGGGACAGUCGAUUGCAAUUAUUUGACUCAAACGAGGAAUUCCUUGUAAUCGCGAUUCAUCAUAUCGCGCUGAAUACGUCCCUGCCCUUUGUACACACCGCCCGUCGCUCCUACCGAUUGAGCGAUCCGGUAAAUGUUUUGGAUUGGUGCCGGGGCGGCUAGCUGUCGGUCGCUACGAAAUUUUGUGAACCUUAUCGCUUAGAGGAAGGAAAAGUCGUAACA
Molecule: ribosomal RNA, 319 nt
Filed under: uncultured eukaryote
Lineage: Eukaryota
Description: partial 18S ribosomal RNA
Rfam family: Eukaryotic small subunit ribosomal RNA
Source: RNAcentral